UACCAGCACCCCGAGUGGUCGGGACGAUUAUUGGGCCUAAAGCAUCCGUAGCCGGUUCUGCAAGUCCCCCGUUAAAUCCAGCUGCUCAACAGAUGGGCCGCGGAGGAUACUACAGAGCUAGGAGGCAGGAGAGGCAAGCGGUACUCAGUGGGUAGGGGUAAAAUCCGUUGAUCCAUUGAAGACCACCAGUGGUGAAGGCGGCUUGCCAGAAUGCGCUCGACGGUGAGGGAUGAAAGCUGGGGGAGCAAACCGG
RNAcentral lists this ribosomal RNA (253 nucleotides) under uncultured bacterium. RNAcentral describes it as "partial 16S ribosomal RNA". It matches the Rfam family "Archaeal small subunit ribosomal RNA", at positions 474 to 727 of the family's 1478-position model. The record is from RNAcentral.